RNAcentral lists this transfer RNA (58 nucleotides) under Caudoviricetes sp. RNAcentral's name for it is "tRNA-OTHER". It matches the Rfam family "tRNA". Rfam says of the family: Transfer RNA (tRNA) molecules are approximately 80 nucleotides in length. Their secondary structure includes four short double-helical elements and three loops (D, anti-codon, and T loops). Lineage: Duplodnaviria; Heunggongvirae; Uroviricota; Caudoviricetes. The record is from RNAcentral.
AUCCCCUUAGCUCAGUGGUAGAGCAUAAAUGUCCCAGGUUCGAUUCCUGGAGGGGAUA